RNAcentral lists this ribosomal RNA (794 nucleotides) under uncultured archaeon. RNAcentral's name for it is "bacterial SSU rRNA". It matches the Rfam family "Archaeal small subunit ribosomal RNA", at positions 85 to 879 of the family's 1478-position model. The record is from RNAcentral.
ACUGCUCAGUAACACGUUGCUAAUCUACCCUUAGAUCGAGGAUAACCUCGGGAAACUGAGAAUAAGACUCGGUACGAGAUGGUUUCUGGAAUGAGCUAUCUCUGAAACGCAAGGUCUAAGGAUGAGGCUGCGGCGGAUUAGGUAGUUGGCGGGGUAAAUGCCCACCAAGCCUGUGAUCCGUAAGGGCCUUUAGCGAGGAGGCCCUAAGAAGGAAUCUGAGACACUAUUCCUAGCCCUACGGGGUGCAGCAGUUAGGGAACUUUUCCAAUGCGCGCAAGCGUGAGAAAGCGAGCCAGAGUGAUUUUGAUAUAAUUUCAAAAUCUUUUGUUCAUUGUAAGAAGAUGGACGAAUAAGGAAUGGGCAAGACCGGUGCCAGCCGCCGCGGUAAUCCCGGCGCUCCAAGUCGCAGCCACAAUUAUUGGGUCUAAAACAUUCGUAGCUUGUUUGCUAAGUUCUUUGUGAAAUCUGACAUCUUAAGUGUCAGGCGUGCAAAGAAUACUGGUGAACUUGGGACCGGAGGAAGCAAGAAGUACGUCGGAUGUAGUGGUAAAAUAUGUUAAUCUUCGACGGACUAACGACAGCGAAGGCAUCUUGCUAAUACGGAUCUGACAGUGAGGAAUGAAGGCUAGGGGCGCAAAGUGGAUUAGAUACCCACGUAGUCCUAGCAGUAAACACUGCUCACUAAACAUUAGCACCUCCUAGAGAGGUGUUAGUGCUGUAGAGAAGUCGAAGAGUGAGCUACCUGGGAAGUAUAGUCGCAAGACCGAAACUUAAAGGAAUUGGCGGGGGAGCAC